This 254-nucleotide ribosomal RNA is filed under the name uncultured bacterium. Its description in RNAcentral is "partial 16S ribosomal RNA". It matches the Rfam family "Bacterial small subunit ribosomal RNA", at positions 524 to 776 of the family's 1533-position model. The record is from RNAcentral.
UACGUAGGGGGCUAGCGUUGUCCGGAUUUAUUGGGCGUAAAGAGCGUGUAGGCGGCCAGGUAGGUCUGGUGUGAAAACUCGAGGCUUAACCUCGAGAUGUCAUCGGAAACCAUCUGGCUAGAGUCCGGAAGAGGAGAGUGGAAUUCCUGGUGUAGCGGUGAAAUGCGCAGAUAUCAGGAAGAACACCAUGGCGAAAGCAGCUCUCGUGGGACGGUACUGACGCUGAGACGGCGAAAGCGUGGGGAGCGAACAGG